UAACUCCCCUAACUGUUUAAGGUGUUUCU
Molecule: non-coding RNA, 29 nt
Filed under: Rattus norvegicus (Norway rat)
Lineage: Eukaryota; Metazoa; Chordata; Mammalia; Rodentia; Muridae
Source: RNAcentral